GAGGACUUUGGGGAUUGAGAGGGUGGGGGGCACUGCAGCAGGCCUCAGUGAAAGUGUGGGCUCCCUGGUUCCCCCUCACAGAGUGACUGUUGGCUGGGGAAGCGAGAGAGCAGCCCCAGGCAUGGAAGUCCUGAGUCCCCUCCUCCCUGCAGAAGGAACAUGGCCUGGGGCUGAAAGCAGGAUUGUGUCUCCUAAGGUGACAGCCAGGGACAAAGAGUUCCAUCCCUAAGGAUCGUGUACCUGAUUUUCUGAGCUGCACAAAAGCCUUGUGACCCCAGGCCGCAGCUGGGGUGCUGGCAGGAGCCAGGAUCACCCUUGCCAGCAUGCUCUCAACCUUUCUUCCCAGGCACCCCAGAAUUUUGGCUGAGCUGAGAAAUGCACGGGAGGGGGAGGGGUGGGGACACAAUCCAGAGUCCCAUCCCUCAACCACCCAGCAUUUCUGUCACUUCCUGUAGGGUAGGCCAGGAGUGGGCGGCCACACAAAGUUGCAGUGGUCUGAAGUCCCCCUCCUUACCCAUGCUGCUCGCUGGUAUGCCUUGGUCCUGCUGGUCGGCCUGGGGAGGACAGAGAAGGGACGCUGUGCUGGUGGCAGAGGCACCGUCCUACCCUUCGAAGGCCUGCAAACCCAUGUGUUCUUGCCACAGCUGCCCGACAGGAAGCAGGACUGGCUAGAGUGUCCAGGUUCCACUUUCCCCAGGCCCAGUCAUUCCCCCUGAGAUUUGAAAUAGAAGGAAAUUCCUCAAUGUCCAUUAUUACCCUCAUAAUCCUCAGGAGGGGGCAGGUGCCUGGUUCCUCCAUAGCUCACCAGGGUUGUGUAGCAUGAGCCCAGGGUAGCCCAGCCUGGUGCCACUGUCCCUAGCUGACCUAUGACAAAUCACAAAACUCUCACGUCUUCAUCUAUCCAGGAGGGAGCCCUCCACCUGGAGAAUUCUUGGCUGCCAGGGUGCUGGGCCUGUCAGUACAGUGUCCCGGGACAUGCCGUGGUCCCCAGGCAGAUGACGGCUGCUUGCUGAGGAACCCAAGCAGGGUUGAGGCGUGAUCUGUUACCUCCCCCUGGGGCUGCCCUCCUCCAUAGAAGCCGGGGUUUGAAGGGCUGGACAACAGAACACCCCCUAAAUUGGUCUCCAUCCUAAGCCAAGGCUCCUCCUUUCCUGAAAGGUGGCUGCCUGACAGGGUAAGUCCCGCCCCUCUCUUCUAGAAAACUGCUGACUCUGUGUCCACAGAGCCAUUUUCAUCUCUUUGGAUGAAAGCUCUGCGGUGACAUUUUGACUGGAUAGCGAAAGGGAUAAAGUUUGGGCUUGAGAUUACCCGGCGCAAGAGCCACGGGGUUUCCCAAGCAGCGACGUGGGAAGGAGAGUAGAAUUGGUCCUCGUGUGAAGGGUGUGUGUCCUCCUGGGUCCCAUGGGUGAGGGUCAUGUGCCCUAAAGGAAGAAGCUCUGUGGCUGCCCAGGGCACGGGUCCUCCCUUGUCCCGAAGUCACUCACCGCCCUUGGCUCUUUCCUGUAUCUGCAUCCUGCCCAUUGCAGUGUCGCUUGGCAUGGGCUGGGGGGUGCAGCUGCCCCCCCAUGGGUGGCCCCAGAGGGCUGCUUCUUCCCCUUUGUCAGCUUCCUGUCUCCUGGCUGCCCCGGCCUCCUCUGCCUUCACCCUGCCUUUCUGGACCCCUUGUCCUGAGGCCUCCAUCUUUUAGCUGCCCUCCACGCUCCUGCUUUUUGGCUUGCGUCCAACAUCCAAGGUCUGAAAAAGGAAGCAGCCUCAUCCCCACCCUCUUAUCAGGAGCUCCUGUGUUUAACUCCAACAAAGUGGUUAUCUGGCUGGUUCUAGAGCCUGUCAUUGAGGGCAUGUUCUUUCAUGCCCUGUGCUGGGACCUGGCUGGUCUCUGUGGCGUCUUCAUGGCACGCUAACCUCAGGAUUUGUCCCCAAGUCAUCUGAUUGCAGAGCUCACAGUUUUCCAGGUCACCCUAUGAUCAUUCUUGUUUGUUUUGCUUUGUUCAUUUUGUGGGGUCAAGGGGUGGUGUAGCCCCAAACCAGAAGGAGGGUGUGAUCUUGUUUCUGGCAGUCUCAGGACAGACUUCCUGUGAAAUGGGAAGAAGCAGACCGAGCAGUGAAGCCUUCAUGGGGGAGAUGGGAGGAGUGGUGGAGACCCCGGGGACGUAGAAAAGACUAGAAGUCUUCACCAAGUGCCAACCGUGGUUACCUCUGCAGAGGCACCGGAAGAAGGGAUUGAUUCUCCAUUUCUACUUGAUAUGCUUCUGUAUUUAAAAAAGAAAAAAAAGGGUCCGGCCAAGUGGCUCAGUUGGUUAAGAGCAUGAGCUC
Molecule: long non-coding RNA, 2313 nt
Organism: Hipposideros armiger (great roundleaf bat)
Lineage: Eukaryota; Metazoa; Chordata; Mammalia; Chiroptera; Hipposideridae
Exons: 3
Source: RefSeq, a predicted model, not a curated record